This 3172-nucleotide long non-coding RNA is filed under the name Ficedula albicollis (Collared flycatcher). Its description in RNAcentral is "lncRNA (ENSFALG00000027090.1)". Lineage: Eukaryota; Metazoa; Chordata; Aves; Passeriformes; Muscicapidae. The record is from RNAcentral.
AUGUCUGGAGGAGGAGGAAGCUCAGGUCACGGAGGAUCCAGUUAUGGCAGCGGUGGGUGCAUUGGUGGAGGAGAAGGGGGUUCAGGAUAUGGAGGAAGCUCCAGCAGGAGAGGAUCCAUGUCUGGAGGCGGUCACAGCUCCGGUGGAUAUGGAUCUGGCAGUGGCAGGUGCAGCCCCCACAGCAGUGGGAUCAGCUCUGGAGGUUGGAGCAGUUCUGGCAGGAGAGGCUCCAUGUCUGGAGGAGGAGGAAGCUCAGGUCACGGAGGAUCCAGUUAUGGCAGCGGUGGGUGUGUUGGUGGUGGAGAAGGAGGUUCGGGUUAUGGAGGGAGCUCAGGGUAUGGAGGUGGCUCUGGCAGGAGAGGCUCCAUCUCUGGAGGUGGCCACAGCUCUGGUGGUGGUGGGAGCAGUUCUGGAGGAGGAAUCAGCUCAGGGUAUGGAGGAAGUGGAGGACUGAGCUCUGCUGGGGAAGGAGGCUCAGGGUACGGAGGGAGCUCAGGGUAUGGAGGUGGCUCUGGCAGGAGAGGCUCCAUCUCUGGAGGUGGCCACAGCUCUGGUGGUGGUGGGAGCAGUUCUGGAGGAGGAAUCAGCUCAGGGUAUGGAGGAAGUGGAGGACUGAGCUCUGCUGGGGGCAUUGGUGGAGGAGAAGGGGGUUCAGGGUAUGGAGGAGGCUCAGGGUACGGAGGAAGCUCCAGCAGGAGAGGAUCCAUGUCUGGAGGCGGUCACAGCUCCGGUGGAUAUGGCUCUGGCAGUGGCAGGUGCAGCCCCCACAGCGGUGGGAUGAGCUCUGGAGGUUGGAGCAGUUCUGGCAGGAGAGGCUCCAUGUCUGGAGGAGGAGGAAGCUCAGGCAGGAGAGGCUCCAUGUCUGGAGAAGGAGGAAGCUCAGGCUGGGGGGGAUCUAGUUAUGGCAGUGGUGGGUGCAUUGGUGGGGGAGAAGGAGGCUCAGUGUGUGGAGGAGGGUCUGGAUAUGGGGGAGGCUCAGGGUACAGAGGAGGAAGCUCAGGCUGGAGAUCAGUCUCUGGAGGAGGAGGAAGCUCCAUCACCAGAGGUUGGGGAUCAAGCUCUGCUGGCACCUGCAGCCCUGGCAGGGUGGGGGAAGGAGGUUGGGAUUGCUCUGGAGGGGACAGUUAUUAUGGAAGUGGGACCUACGGAGAUUGCACACCCAGCUGCCAAGAAGAGACUGAGGAAUGCAGCUCAGGAGGAGGAUGGUCUUCUCCAAGACCAGGUUACUGGUCUGCCUAUGGAAGUGGCUCAGGUUCCUCUGGGGAUGCUGCCCACAAGUAAAACUUGGAAGCAAAAUCUCACCAGUGGAACAGGAUGAAGCCGUUGCCUCAUUGUUGGGGCAGUGGGACUUUCCUGCUGUCACCACUGGUCUGGACGGGCUGUGUGCCAUCCUGAGCUCUCCCUGCACAACCACCCCUGGAGUCUCCAUCCCACUCCUCUGCUGGAUGCUGAUAUUGUGACGGUGUCCCUUCCUUGGGCUUUCUCAGAACUUUUAGUCCCUGGCUGUCUGGAACCUUUAUCUUUGGCAACUAAAAGCUUGAAACGCUGUCUGGUAUGUUUGUUUUGGUCUGGGGGAGGGCAGGACUCUGAUGUCUCUGAUGAGAUGUUUGAUAUAACUUCCCAUGUAAACGAAUUCAUGGAAAUCUGAUCCAGGAAAAAGCUCCUGGAAAAAUUGAAAAAGUGGAAGAAAGUGGCUGGAAAAGAAUGACAAAUGCAGAUUGUCUGCUGUAAAAAUGGUGUUUAGGGUCAAGUCCUUUAGGUCUGGUCUGACCAGUCAGCCAGGACAUGUGGCUACACCUCAUAUCCAUCAUUCCCUCCAGGAGUCACUCAUUAAGUAAUUUGGGGGCAGAUCCUCUGUAUUGCUUUUCUGGGGGCACUGCAGCUGCAGAUGAAGAAAGGAGCAGAAAGUCUGGGAAUAACAGUGUCUCAUCUCACUUUUGGUUCAAGUUAAGGUGAGAUGGGGUGUAUCUGAGGAAAUAUUUCUUGGCCAACGUCUGAUUUUGGAGUUGUCGUGUGCAGGGUCAUGAGUUGGACUCAAUGAUUGUUGUGUGUCACUUCCAACUCAGGAUAUUCCACGAUUCUAUCAUCUUAUUCAGUGGUGAUUUUUAUCACAGGAAGCAAGAUACUCUCCAAAUUUCUUCCAGAACCUCCUUGAAGUCCAAUCAAAAGUUCUAACAAAGCACAGAGCAGCUGAUUUGAUGUCAAAAGUUUGUUCAAGAAGCUCAGUUUAAUAAUGUCACCCUUGUUUAGCAACAAUCCACUGAGAUAACUGGAGUGUCCCAAUCUCAUUAGGAAUAUUCCAUAUCGUUUCCCCAGCUGGUGGGAAGGAGGAUCCUCUCUUCCUGAAAGAAUUCCAACUGUGAAGAGUCCUGGAAGGAGCAGGAGGGUGAGGGGGAGAGACACAGAUUUCUGGGAAAUCCACUGUGGAGACUCUUUUGCAAAGGACUGUAGAGCCACAGAAACAACAAUGGAGUGUUAAUAGAAUUAUGGAACUAUUUUGAUUGAUCAUUAAUAGUAAUUUUCCUUCACUGGGGGCUCCAAGAGAGCUGGGGAGGGACUUGGAAAGAAGUGAUGGGACAAGGGUGGGUUAGGGGAUGGAAGAGGGGAGGGUUAGGCGGGUCAUUGAGAAGAAGCUCUUCCCUGUGAGAGUGGUGAGGCCCUGGAAUGGAUUUCCCAUCCCUGGAAGUGUCCAAGGCCAGGUUGGAUGGCACUUGGAGCAGCCUGGGAUCAGCGGAAGAUGCCCCUGCCCACGGCAGGGGGUGGAACAGGACGGACCCCAAGGUCCCUCCCACCCCAAUGCAUUCCGUGGUUCCAUGUGGAGCCACCAGGGGCUAAAUCAAACCCUUGCAGCAAAGUCUGGAAACACUUUGGAAUCUCUGCAUGGAGGGAGCUCCAGACACUGUAGUUCAGUCAAAACCGGCACCAGCUGCGUUCAGCUUCAUGGCUUUAAAGAGGCUUCAGGAUCCAGGAGAAACCUCAGGAUGCAAAUGAAAACCACUGCAUCGUCACAAUCCUGUUUUGAUCCAAGGGAUUAGGCGCUAAUUCAGGCAAAACCUCGUCUUUUAUGAUAAAAAGUGGAGUGAUUCUGCACAGUGUGGAGGGUCACAGGGCUUUGGUUUCACUGAUAAAUUAAUUGUGCAGCCAGGGUGUUUCUCAUCUCUAAUUGGAGGAA